GCCCAGGUGGUGAAAUGGUAUACACGAGGGACUUAAAAUCCCUUGGUCCGCAAGGGCCUUGCGGGUUCAAGUCCCGCCCUGGGCA
RNAcentral lists this transfer RNA (85 nucleotides) under Flavobacteriales bacterium. RNAcentral's name for it is "tRNA-Leu". It matches the Rfam family "tRNA". From Rfam's summary of the family: Transfer RNA (tRNA) molecules are approximately 80 nucleotides in length. Their secondary structure includes four short double-helical elements and three loops (D, anti-codon, and T loops). Lineage: Bacteria; Pseudomonadati; Bacteroidota; Flavobacteriia; Flavobacteriales. The record is from RNAcentral.